GCCCGGAUGGCGAAAUCGGUAGACGCAGCAGACUUAAAAUCUGCCGGGGGCAACUCCGUGCCGGUUCGAUUCCGGCUCCGGGCACCA
RNAcentral lists this transfer RNA (87 nucleotides) under Lysobacter antibioticus. Its description in RNAcentral is "tRNA-Leu". It matches the Rfam family "tRNA". From Rfam's summary of the family: Transfer RNA (tRNA) molecules are approximately 80 nucleotides in length. Their secondary structure includes four short double-helical elements and three loops (D, anti-codon, and T loops). RNAcentral also lists the same sequence under 4 other names. Lineage: Bacteria; Pseudomonadati; Pseudomonadota; Gammaproteobacteria; Lysobacterales; Lysobacteraceae. The record is from RNAcentral.